GCCAGGUGUGGUGGUGCACGCCUGUACUCCCAGCUACUCAGGAGGCUGAGGCAGAAGAAUCGCUUGAACCUGGGAGGCAGAGGCUGCAGUGAGGUGAGAUAGGACUACUGCACUCUAUCCUGCGUGACAGAGCGAGACUCUGCCUCAA
Pan troglodytes (chimpanzee) is the source of this 148-nucleotide non-coding RNA. It matches the Rfam family "Metazoan signal recognition particle RNA". Rfam says of the family: The signal recognition particle (SRP) is a universally conserved ribonucleoprotein. It is involved in the co-translational targeting of proteins to membranes. The record is from Rfam. NCBI's taxonomy places the organism in Eukaryota, Metazoa, Chordata, Mammalia, Primates, Hominidae.